This is a long non-coding RNA of Cydia strobilella, 2672 nucleotides long. RefSeq lists it as uncharacterized. NCBI's taxonomy places the organism in Eukaryota, Metazoa, Arthropoda, Insecta, Lepidoptera, Tortricidae. The transcript has 2 exons. The record is from RefSeq and is a predicted model, not a curated record.
AGUCACACUUAUAACGACACCUGAUGAUGCAUACUGGGGCGAAGCCAUUUCAGUGUAGCCACUGUGAUUACAAAUUGAGUCUGAAGUCACACUUAUAACGACACCUGAUGAUGCAUACUGGGGCGAAGCCAUUUCAGUGUAGCCACUGUGAUUACAAAUUGAGUCUAAAGUCACACUUAUAACGACACCUGAUGAUACAUACUGGGGCGAAGUAAUUAAAGGUCAAAGUUAAGGUUUAAAAAUGUUGGUCUCCAUUCAUUUAGUUUACCAAGCAACACUACGCAAUAUUCAGGUAUUGCUUGCUUAUAAUUGAGAAAUUAAUAUGCAUAAUAUAUUUAUUUUUUAUGAUUAAGUAUGACGAUGAAAUUGUAAUUGGGUCAAGUAAUUUAAGUGCCUUUAAUCAACAAUAAGAGAUCGAAUAUUAUAACGACCAAAAAGUAAUGUUUAUUUAUAGCAAUAUUUAUUAAUGUUAUAUAAUCAUGUAACAUGAAUUAUAUAUAGGUUGCUAUAAGCAACCGGUCGUAAAAUUAAAUUGUUUACGACAACGUUAAAUACUGAAAAUUAUGAUAUGAUUCAAUCUCGAUUGAAUAUUCUUAUAAUGAUGUCAAUUAUUGGGUUAAAAUUGCAUUUACUCAUAAUUGAGUGAUGGCGUAUGUUUUUAUGGUAUCUUCAGACGUUAUUAAUGUAAGAAUACGAAGUGGCCGUAGCUAAAUUAAUUAAUAGAAAUCGCAGGCCAAAUGUAACAGAAAGAGUAUGAAUUUUAAUACCUAUAUAGGGAAUAAGGUUCUUAUAAGCUUUAAUGUUAUUGAUAGAGUACCGGUCUCUGUCAAAAAACAUAUGCCCUAAUCCUUGGUGCCAUUGACAUCUAUCUAAAGCUAUAAAAUAAAUAUGUAGCUAAGGCAGCUAAAAUACAAGAGAGAAUAAAACAAUUAAUGUGUCUUUGGCAUCAAGUAUCGGGUUUACAUUGGAUUCAGAAACUGCGUAAAUUAGGGCACCUUAGCUACGGCCGGCGAAAGUCUCGAAAAGCAAUACUCAGAUUUGGAAAACGUAUGCAUUUCUGAUCGAAAAAUUAGCAAAACGAAGGUUGAUCGAAUGGUUAGGUUAACAAUAUUUUAUAGCAAUAUUCAUUUAGUGACUUAACCCUUUAAACGCCGGUAUACAUUAUUGACGACAUAAGACGUCAGAAGCAUUUAAAGGAUUAAAGUUUGAACAGAUUGCAUUCGAAUAAUCUUGCCAUUGACUAAUGACUAACUAAAUGUUCAAUUGGCUAUGAAAACUAAUAUACAGUGACUUAUCGAGUCGUUAUUGGCUCUCUCUAAUAUAAUUAUGACAAAAUGACAAAUUGAAAUGAUUAUGAUUACAUUUAAUGAUUGAAAAAUAAAACGUGGGUAUUCGGGACACACCACUACGACACACCUGAUCUGCCACCAAAAAAAAAAGUUUAGUGUUGCCGGGCUAAAAAAGUUCAGACUACCCACGUUUUAUUUUUUUAAGAGCGUACCUGAACGCAAUGUUCACUAAUGCCAUUUAUAAACGCUCACGAACCGAGCAUAAUAUGACGCGAUUUAUUAUUAUUAUUCCCUCAUUAUGAAGCUUUUUAUGUUGUUUGGCGUUUUGCACAAGUGUUUCCUUAUAGUGGCAACUUUGCUUUUAGUCAGAAUGAUCUCAAGUCCGUGUGCGUAUGCCUUUACAAAUACUUGCCAUUUGUGGCCUUUUAUUUUACUAUAGACCGUAGGCACUUUGAAGCACUGCUUUCGUACCUUAACUUUAUAAGGACGGGAGUAGUCUUAACCCUUUCCUCGCUAAUAGUUACAUAACACUUUGAAACAAAGUAGCCGUUAUAAUCCAUAUUUAAAGUUAUAAUUAAUUUGCAAACUUUCGCCAUGACAAUUGCACGUAAUUUAGGGAAAAGGACCCAACCAAUAAAAAUCUAUCAAUAAAAUUUGAACUCUCAUUAAGUAAUUUAAAUGACAAAUUUUAGAGAAACCUUUUCGCUAAACUUUGUCCAAUUGGGCGACUAUAAGCGUCAUUGGCGUGGAAAGGGUAAAAGUGUCAGGUCAUAUUACUAACAGUUCCAAAUAUCAACGCAAUACGACUCCGUCUGGCGAUCUGUCGCCAUAUUGUUUAAGAUGUACGUCUCAGGAGUUGUGCUGCGUUCUGCCAUUAGAUUAUAAGCAUAGUUCAUAUUGCCUUCAGUCAGCCAUAAGAGUCGAAACAUUUGCCUCGGGCGAGACGUCUAACGAGACCGAGUUGCUUCGCGCGGCAAUUUCCUCGCGAGGCAACUCGUAAAAAAAAGCAAGCGCAAAGCGCCUUGAUGCGAAGCGAAGUGAUGAGCCUUAUUUUCUAAGCAGUAAAUGCGAAAAUGCUAAACACUCUUAUGGCUAACUGUGUCCGAGUACUGUUGCCACUAUUUUUUCCGUGCACGGUGGUAGUUCUAAGCAUAGCUCUGCGCAGAGCACUAUAUUUUCAUCGAAUACAUUAUAUUGUAAAUAGUUACUUUAUAUCCUUGUUAAAUAAUGCUGGUAGUCACAACGAAAUCAAAGACUGCAAGUAUUAUUGGUGAAUUAAAUGUUAAUUGUUUUGUACUGUAUUUUUUUACAUAUUUAAUCGCUAAAGUAUUGUUGAUUCCUUUAUUUUUUGACAAUCAUGUUGUAGUUGUAAGGUACCCGGGU